RNAcentral lists this ribosomal RNA (429 nucleotides) under Pseudomonadota bacterium. RNAcentral describes it as "Proteobacteria bacterium partial 16S ribosomal RNA". It matches the Rfam family "Bacterial small subunit ribosomal RNA", at positions 355 to 776 of the family's 1533-position model. Lineage: Bacteria; Pseudomonadati; Pseudomonadota. The record is from RNAcentral.
UGGGGAAUAUUGGACAAUGGGCGAAAGCCUGAUCCAGCCAUGCCGCGUGUGUGAAGAAGGUCUUCGGAUUGUAAAGCACUUUACGUUGGGAGGAAGGGCAGUAAGCGAAUACCUUGCUGUUUUGACGUUACCGACAGAAUAAGCACCGGCUAACUCUGUGCCAGCAGCCGCGGUAAUACAGAGGGUGCAAGCGUUAAUCGGAAUUACUGGGCGUAAAGCUCGCGUAGGUGGUUCGUUAAGUUGAAUGUGAAAGCCCCGGGCUCAACCUGGGAACUGCAUCCAAAACGGGCGAGCUAGAGUAGGGCAGAGGGUGGUGGAAUUUCCUGUGUAGCGGUGAAAUGCGUAGAUAUAGGAAGGAACACCAGUGGCGAAGGCGACCACCUGGGCUCAUACUGACACUGAGGUGCGAAAGCGUGGGGAGCAAACAGG